AAUGAACGUUGGCGGCGUGGAUUAGGCAUGCAAGUCGAGCGAGAAUUUGCGAUUGGAAGCUUCGGCCGAAGGAAGUGAAGGAAAGCGGCAAACGGCGUAGUAAGGCGUAGGUACGUACCCUCGGGUCGGGAAUAGCCAUGGGAAACUGUGGGUAAUGCCCGAUAAUCUCUGCGGAGCAGAGGUGUGAUUCCGCCGGAGGAGCGGCUUACGUGAUAUUAGCUAGUUGGUGGGGUAAUGGCCUACCAAGGCAACGAUGUCUAGGGGGCGUGAGAGCAUGGCCCCCACGACCGGAACUGAGACACUGUCCGGACACCUACGGGUGGCUGCAGUCGAGAAUCUUCCGCAAUGGGCGAAAGCCUGACGGAGCGACGCCGCGUGGUGGAUGAAGGCCCUUGGGUUGUAAACACCUGUCAGAGGGGAUGAAAUCAUGGUUGGCAAUCCUUCCAUGUUGACAGAGCCUCAGAGGAAGCACGGGCUAAGUACGUGCCAGCAGCCG
RNAcentral lists this ribosomal RNA (496 nucleotides) under uncultured bacterium. Its description in RNAcentral is "bacterial SSU rRNA". It matches the Rfam family "Bacterial small subunit ribosomal RNA", at positions 29 to 517 of the family's 1533-position model. The record is from RNAcentral.